Molecule: ribosomal RNA, 497 nt
Filed under: uncultured bacterium
Lineage: Bacteria
Description: partial 16S ribosomal RNA
Rfam family: Bacterial small subunit ribosomal RNA
Source: RNAcentral
GACGAACGCUGGCGGCGUGCCUAAUACAUGCAAGUUGAGCGAUGAAGAUUGGUGCUUGCACCCAUUUGAAGAGCAGCGAACGGGUGAGUAACGCGUGGGGAAUCUGCCUUUGAGCGGGGGACAACAUUUGGAAACGAAUGCUAAUACCGCAUAACAACUUUAAACAUAAGUUUUAAGUUUGAAAGAUGCAAUUGCAUCACUCAAAGAUGAUCCCGCGUUGUAUUAGCUAGUUGGUGAGGUAAAGGCUCACCAAGGCGAUGAUACAUAGCCGACCUGAGAGGGUGAUCGGCCACAUUGGGACUGAGACACGGCCCAAACUCCUACGGGAGGCAGCAGUAGGGAAUCUUCGGCAAUGGACGAAAGUCUGACCGAGCAACGCCGCGUGAGUGAAGAAGGUUUUCGGAACGUAAAACUCUGUUGGUAGAGAAGAACGUUGGUGAGAGUGGAAAGCUCAUCAAGUGACGGUAACUACCCAGAAAGGGACGGCUAACUACGUG